UCUCUGUUAUCCAAUUUUUGAACGCAUUAUUUCUCAUACAAUGAAAUGGAAUAACUUGAUUUUGCAGUGGCCAUGGAAAAUUUUAAGAUGAGAACUGUUGGGGUAGGUCCUCAUCAUUUACCCGACUAGCUUAUCUCCUCGCCUUCCGACCGACUAGCUGCACUUCGCUGACCCAGCUACUAUGACUCAAUCUGACUCUGACCAAUAGGUCCUAUCCUGACCGGCC
This 226-nucleotide long non-coding RNA is filed under the name Elaeis guineensis (African oil palm). RNAcentral's name for it is "long non-coding RNA (EGUI_LNC062768)". Lineage: Eukaryota; Viridiplantae; Streptophyta; Magnoliopsida; Arecales; Arecaceae. The record is from RNAcentral.